UCAUGGAAUCUGUUUGGUGCGCAGAUAUGAUAGAGACAUAAUACGAUAAUGAAUUGGAUAAAAAUAGGAAAAGAUAUUGAUGUGAUAGUCACUUAUCAUAUCAUGUGUUUGAUGCACAUAUGAUAAAAAAGUUCAUAACAAUAUUUAGAAGACCAAUUGAUGCAAAAUCAACCUUUCACAAUCCUAUGGUAGCAUUUUAUCUUCAAUGUUACAUGUAAUUUUUCAAUUAACAAAUUGAAUUUUUCUCUUCGAUAGUUAUAAUUGUAAAACACAUACAAGGAUCAAUUGAUGAAAGAAGUAACGAUGAAAGAAAAAAUGAGAGAGAUGAAGGGGGACCUAAAAGAGGUGGACGAGAGAAAGAGGUGGAGAAGAUCAAUCCAUGAAAGAAAUAAGAGCAAUGUUUCAUGUACACCUUUUAUUCCAUACCACUAAUGUACCACCUCCAUGUGGCACUAAGGACAUUUGAGUAAUUUCAUCACACCACUUCCUUUUUCACUUCCUUCUCUCUUCCGUCAUCCCAGAGGUAGAGACCAAGCCUCCACCAUCAACACCAACGCCUCCGUCGCGUGUAACGCCCCAUUUUUAUUUAAUUAUUUUUAGUUGAUUUAAAGUCUUUUAUAUGAUUUUUAAAUGAUUUACGUUGAUUUUGUGGUGUGGUAUAUUUUAUUAAAUGACUAUUUUAUUAUUUAAUAGAAUAAGUGAGAAAUAGGAUUUAAUUGGAGUUUGGGGGUUAUAUGAGAAUUAAGUAAACUUAGGGGGAGUAAAGUGAAUAUUGAGAGAUUAUAUUUAUUAAAGAAUUAGAAAAUAGAAGUGGGGGAAGCAGUUUUUACGUACAACAGAGAAAAGGGAGAAAAGUCAAGAAAAGGGAAGAGAAUCAAGAAGGGCUGCGAUUUUGAUUAUCUAAGGUAAGGGUGAGGCUAACUUACAUUAAUUUUAGUGUAUAUGAUUCUGAUUAUGUUUUAACAAAAGUUAUGAAUAAAUUUGGAGAAUUGGGAAUUAGGGUUAUGAUGAGAAUUGAUGAUUAAAUGAUGGAAUUAGGGUGAAUUGAUGUAGAAAUGAUGAACAGACCUUAAAUGUUUCAUAUAUUGAUGUUUAGAAUCAGUUUUAAGGUUAGAACAAUGGGUUUGGGUGAAUUUUUGAGAAAAACUGUAACCUGGCCGUACUGUUAUUCAUCGCUCGCCUCCCGAGUGACGAUCCUCGCCAUAGCGAGUGAUGAAGAUCAUCGCUCGCCUCGCGAGCAGGAGUUGUUCGCCUCGCGAGUUGCAUUUCGCAGCUCGCCAUAGCGAGCAAGUUUACUCGCCGUGGCGAGUGUGGGCAGAGAGCUUGCAAGAUUCUGUGUUUUUGAGCUGUGAGUUUAACCUUAGGUGUUUGUGAGGGCCUGAACAUGUACCUUAAUGAUUAGGCAAAGUUUUAGAAUGAGUUUGAACUCGGAAUAGGGUCAGAAUGGAUUCUAGAGUGUUUUACCCUAACUCGCCGUGGCGAGUAGAGGCUCUCGCCUCGCGAGCUAGUGCUUGACAGACUGCGUUGUUUAGGAUUUCAUGUGACUUUGUCGCACGAGAGGCUGUGAGUUGAACCUUGAGAUAGCAAUGAAAGAUGUAUAGGAUUUAAACGAUGAACUGUGAAGCUGGAUAGGGUAAAUUGAGGUUAUUAAUGUGAUAAAAAUUGUAUAAGUAAUACUUGGAUUAUGUGAAAAUGCUAGACAUCGUUGGAUUGUAUAAGAUAUUGUUAUAUCAUGCUGUUGUAUAUUGUUGUGUUGCUGUUGAUUGAUUAUGAUUGUUAAUGAUCGCUGGUUUAUACUUAACUACAUUCAAUUAGAAUGUACAAUGUGUUGGUUCGAGUUGUAAGUGGCGAGUUGUCGUUCUAGGUAACGGAGUCAUAGGUUGUUGACGUUGAUCAAGUUGGGGAGUGAGUCAUAGUUAUUAUGCACGGUCGUUGUCGUUGCCUAUGUUGUCGUUGUCGUAGUUGAGUUGUAUGCUGAUAUACACAAGUUGAGUCCUUUAUGAUUAGGAAUCUGUUGAGGGCUUAUGCCCUGGAAUGCUUUGUCAUUCAAACUGUUGAGGGCUCAUGCCCUGGAAUGCCUUGUCAUUCAAAUUGUUGGGGGCUUAUGCCCCGGAAUGCUUAGUCAUUCAACCCGUUGAAAUUAGUACCACGUUGUUGUUGUUGUAGAUGUUGUUGAGCGAGUUGGUGUUGUAGAUGUUGUUGAGAGAGUUGUUGUGGUUGAUGUCGUUGAGUGUUGUUGAAUGAGCUGUUGUAGUCGUUGAUAAAUACUGAUGUGUCGUUGUUGUUGAUUGGAUUAGUAAGUGUUAUUAAAAUUGAAGAAGUAUGAAUAUUAUCAUUGGGUAUAUGUUGUUAAUUAUGUUAUUUAAUUAAGUUGAUGAUUUAUAUAUAUAUAUAUAUAUAUAUAUAUAUAUCUAUUAUUAUUGUUUGUGAAUCUCACCCCUUCUGCUUGGAAUUGUUGCCCUUCGUAUGGGUAACUUGCAGGUAUUGAAGAAUAUUAGAAGUGGUGGCUCAAGUGUCUUAGGGCUCUGAUACGUAACGGGAUGGGAUAUCGUUGUCAUGUUUUCAUUCCUUAUGUAUCAUUAUGAACCUGCUGAUAUUGAUUUUAAUCAUUAAAGAUAUUUUGUUGAGGCCAAGUGCCAAGGAUUUAUUUGAAGGAUGUUUAAUGUUGAAAAUUAUUCCC
This 2680-nucleotide long non-coding RNA is filed under the name Medicago truncatula (barrel medic). Its description in RNAcentral is "long non-coding RNA (MTRU_LNC000011)". The record is from RNAcentral. Lineage: Eukaryota; Viridiplantae; Streptophyta; Magnoliopsida; Fabales; Fabaceae.